Molecule: transfer RNA, 73 nt
Filed under: Marophrys sp. SRT127
Lineage: Eukaryota; Centroplasthelida; Acanthocystida
Description: tRNA-Met
Rfam family: tRNA
About the family: Transfer RNA (tRNA) molecules are approximately 80 nucleotides in length. Their secondary structure includes four short double-helical elements and three loops (D, anti-codon, and T loops).
Source: RNAcentral
GGCGAUAUAGUUUAGUUGGUUAGAAUAGCGGAAUCAUAAUUCGCGGGUCGUUGGUUCAAAUCCGACUAUCGCU